GCGGGAGUGCCAGAGCGGUCAAAUGGGCAUGGCUAAGGACCAUGUGGCUUAGUGCCUGCGCAGGUUCGAACCCUGCCCCCCGCA
Molecule: transfer RNA, 84 nt
Filed under: Candidatus Woesearchaeota archaeon
Lineage: Archaea; Nanobdellati; Candidatus Woesearchaeota
Description: tRNA-Leu
Rfam family: tRNA
About the family: Transfer RNA (tRNA) molecules are approximately 80 nucleotides in length. Their secondary structure includes four short double-helical elements and three loops (D, anti-codon, and T loops).
Source: RNAcentral